Molecule: transfer RNA, 73 nt
Filed under: Ixodes scapularis (black-legged tick)
Lineage: Eukaryota; Metazoa; Arthropoda; Arachnida; Ixodida; Ixodidae
Rfam family: tRNA
About the family: Transfer RNA (tRNA) molecules are approximately 80 nucleotides in length.
Source: Rfam by way of RNAcentral
AGUUGGUUAGCUCAGUUGGUAUAGUGCUUCGCUGGAAAUGAAGAGGUCCCUGGUUCGAUACCAGGACCAGCAG